Non-coding RNA from Camellia sinensis, 698 nucleotides. The record is from RefSeq and is a predicted model, not a curated record. Lineage: Eukaryota; Viridiplantae; Streptophyta; Magnoliopsida; Ericales; Theaceae.
UUAUUCUCUCUCUUUCUCUAUACAUUAUUUCUUACAUGGUAUCAGAGCUGGUUUAAAACCUAGUAUUUUCGCUUCCCCGGCGGGCGGCAACCUCACCUUAGCCGCCCGCCGGACCUCAACCUAUUCCGCUGAUAAAAUCAACAAAGAUUUGUGCAACUGUAGUCAUGUGUGAGGCUGAUGGAGAAGAAUUCUUCACCUCAUUUGACGAGACAGUCUGGAACUGGAAACACUGCAACAUUCUGCUCUGGAAUUCUGCAGCAGCUAGAUUAUAGCUUGGUUGAGUGCCAAGCUUUGGUUCUUCCACCCACUCUUGAACUUGCCCAGCAGAGUGUGAAGGUUCAUGCUUGUGUUGGAGGGACUAGUGUGCGCGAAGAUCAGCGCAUUCUCUCCAGUGGGGUUCAUGUUGUUGUUGGUACUCCUGGCCGUGUGUUUGAAGCUGAUGAAAUGCUGUCACGAGGUUUUUAAAAAUCAGAUCUAUGAUAUUUUCCAGUUGCUGCCACCCAAAAUCCAGGUUGGGGUGUUCUCAGUUGCUGUCACCCAAAAUCCAGGUUGGGGUGUUCUCUGCCACAAUGCCACCAGAGGCUCUUGAAAUCACCAGGAAAUUCAUGAAUAAGCCUGGAAAGAGAAAAAGCUCAUGCUAGGAUUUGCGAAGUGAUUCGCUGCAGGAAUUUUGGCUUUGGAUGAAACCCUUACCAUAC